Cryptotermes secundus is the source of this 459-nucleotide long non-coding RNA. RefSeq lists it as uncharacterized. The record is from RefSeq and is a predicted model, not a curated record. Lineage: Eukaryota; Metazoa; Arthropoda; Insecta; Blattodea; Kalotermitidae. The transcript has 3 exons.
CUGGUUGCGGCAGUAGAAGGUCUCAUGUUGUUGGCCAUGUGACGGGAAUCAGCUGAUACAACAGACUUCAGCCUUCAGCAGCUGUAUACGUGUUACGAAACAUUACCGGUGGGAUUACUUCCAAGUUCCCGUGUUAACUGCUGUCCUUGUGUUUCAACUUUCCAUUGAUAAGAUUUCCUCACUGAAAAUUUCGACGAGAGCAGCAGCCAGAGGUAGUUUAAGCCCUAGUGUUGACACGAUGGAUUUCCAUUUUUGUUGAAGAUACCUGAACAGCACACAACAGCUACCAAAAUGAACAAAAUCAGCAUUGGAAACUGAGUGUUACCGGAACCUCGUAAGCAGUACGAAAAAUUCGCGUGAUCUUUGUAUGACGGUGCUAAUUAACAGCUGAGUGAAUGGCUUGCAGUAUGCACGUCUAAUUUCUGUGACACAGGGCAUUCUUUCUCUACUGUUCAUAUC